Molecule: long non-coding RNA, 2804 nt
Filed under: Vitis vinifera (wine grape)
Lineage: Eukaryota; Viridiplantae; Streptophyta; Magnoliopsida; Vitales; Vitaceae
Description: long non-coding RNA (VVIN_LNC003721)
Source: RNAcentral
UGUCUUUGAAUAACAGUUCACCAUGUCUGUACUUUAUUCAAGACUCCAAUAGUCCAACCUGAACCCCAUAUCUGGCUUUUGGAAUGAUGGAGAAGCAGAACAACACUUGCACAAGCAGGAGGCUAAUCUGGCGCAGUGCAAGUUGCACAUCCGGUAACCCGUACCCACAUAGUACGGAUUAAAUAAAAAAUAAGCUACAGGGGCACAUUAAAAUUAAAAAAAAAAAUGUAGCAUUUAGUACACAUAGUAAGAGUACAAUCCAACAUUUAAUAUCUCAGUUAGCUUUCUCAACGGCGGUGAUAGAAGAACCGCUAGCCGUGACAGAAUCGUAGCGCUGAAACAUGUGAGUCACGAAUAGGACAGCGGUCAUGGUGACAUAGUCCUUGGCCGCGCACUGCUUGUUCCUGUCGCUGGGUGAACCGGUCUGGGGCCCGUUCGACCAGAAGAGAUAAUUCAGUAACUCCCGCCCCUUCUCUUUCGUAAACCGGUCCGGUACGAAAGUUUCCGGGUCGUCGAAGAUCUUCGGGUCUGUCAUCGCCACCUUCUGGAACCCGCAAAGCAGAUCUCCCUUCUUUAUCUCAAAAACUGAGUCGUGUGAACUCAGUUGAAAGUCCUUUCUGGCUCGAGCGUAUUGGAGUGGGACGGGCGGGUUGAGGCGGAGAGUUUCGUACACGACGGAGUGGACUAGUUCCAAGUCUUUAACCGAUUCAAAGGUUAGAUUUGUUCCCGGCUUGAUCUUUGAUCUGACCUCUUCUCUCAGUUUGGCCUGUAACUCCGGUUUGCCGCUAAGAGCGCUGAGGAGAGAUGGGAAGAAGAUGGUGAAGCCACCGAAGGCGUUGAAGCCGAGGACGAAGAGGAGGUUGUGGAUGGUUUCUUCUUUGGAGAGGUUGAACUCGGUUUCGCCUCUUUGAAGCACGGCUUGGCCGUGUUGUUCGACGAAGUCGUAGAGUUUUCUGUAGUCUCCUUUGACGAGGAAGAAUGGGUAAGCGAAAGAGUGGAGGAAGAUCUCUUCGAGUGGUUGCAGGAAGUUGACGCUGAUGGUGGGGAGGAGCUGGAGGAAAACCCAUUUGUCGAGCAUGACGUAGCCAGACUCCGCAAUUUCCGGCGACACAGCGGGAUCCGCGCCAACAAGGCAUUUAGUUAGGAAAUGGAAGAUGAAGCGCUGGAGAGGCUUGAUGUAACUGGCGCUGUUGCUCUUGGCGACGCCGGCGUCGAUGGUGUCCCACAUGGUGUCCAGGCUGGCCACGACCUCGCUUGCCCAGAUGCUGGAACUCCGUUUCAGAAUGUCCAUGGCAAAGCUCUUUACCUGCCGGAGAUUCCAUAAUUGUUGAUGUGAUUUUUCUACAAUUUUUAUUGAUUUAUUUUAAAGGGUAAUUCAUGAAAUUUAAUCUAUGAAUGCAAGACAUAGAAUAAGAUAAAAUUUGUUGCCCCUAUCCCAUGGUCAUGGUGAUGAGUUGCGAGAUAUUUUUGACUUCGAGAUUGUGGGGAACGCAACGUUCUAUUUACAGAGUGUCCUCUAGACCACUCUUGGGCCUAUAUUCGACCUAUAUUCGAAAACGUUAAAUGAAAAUUAUUAUAUUUUUAUUAAGAAAUAAAACAAAAAAAUCCACUUGUGAUUUGUUUUUAAUAUUUAAAAAAUAUUAAAUAUUUAUAAUCAAGAAAAAUAAAAAUAAAAAAUUAGAAAAGCACAUCCUAGUCCCUUAAUAAUUUAAUAUAUAUAUUAAAAAAUUAUUUAAAAUCAAUUCAUUAUUUUAUAUACUACUCCGUUUCAUUGAUUUUAUGUUUUCUGUAAAAAUAAAAUGAUUUGAAAAUUUGUAAGUUAUAGAAAGACAAUAAAAUAAUUUUUUUUAGUAUUUUUUUUAUUAUGUUUAGUUUUUAAAAAAUUUGAAAGAAAAUACGAAAUAAAGAAAUUAAAGAAAAAAAUUAAAAAAAUAUGAAAUAAAUUUAAAUUUAAUAAAUUAUUUUAUUCUAUUUAUUUUUUUUAUAUUAUAACAAGAUUAAAUAAUCUUAAAAUAAAAAAAAAUUAAAUUUAUUUUAUUUUAUAUUUUUUUAAAUAAAACCAAAUCUGACCAACCAUCCAAACAUAUUUAAUAUUUUUUGAAAUCAAAUAUAAGAUAAAAAUAAAAAAAUAAAAAAAUAAAAUAUAUUUAAAAUUAAUCAAUUAUUUUUAUAUAUUAUAUGAAAAAAAAUUCCCACAAAAACCUUAUAAAUGUUCGUUUUCCAUCGCAACUACUGUUUCAACAUUAGUGGUUUAGAUUUUUCAACACACAAAUUUAUAAAUAUUUCUUCCUCCAUAAAUGAAGGUACGACUAUCAGAUCUAAAGCAGUGUCACUCGACAUAGAUAUGCUGACUCACUGAGUCGAUGACUGAACUGGACUCAGUGAGUUUGGAAGAUCAGAACGAGGCAACGGAAUCUUACCCUGGCGUGUUGGGUCUCGGCGGUGUCGAGAUAGGCACAGACUCGAAUGUCGCCGGUGUACUUGACGCUGGGCAUGAAGUCGCCGACGAGGACAUUCUUCUUCUCGACAACAUCCAUAUCAAAGAGAAAGGAGAAGGAUUUGCAAUCGAGGACGGCGAUUACGUUAGGAUUGACACCGACGAAGAAGGGGAACGACGGAGGGACGUUGGUACGGAACACGGUGCUCUUGUACUUGUCGAUCCUCUUCCGGAAGAACGUCUCCGGGCCCUGGAACCAGAAGUAGUCGAGGCGGUCGGCGAUCGGGCCGAGCACAGGCCAGCCGUAGCUGCCAGGAAUCGCGCGAACGGGGGAGGACGAGGGAGGAGACGGUGGAGUUAGAGACGA